Small nuclear RNA from Cricetulus griseus (Chinese hamster), 101 nucleotides. NCBI's taxonomy places the organism in Eukaryota, Metazoa, Chordata, Mammalia, Rodentia, Cricetidae. The record is from Ensembl.
UUGCUUGUAGCAGCGCUUAUGCUAAAACUGGAACAAUAACACAGACUAGAUGACCCCUGUGCAAGGGUGACAUGCUUGAUUGUGCAGCAUUCCUGAUUUGU